UCACAGAGGGUGAGAAUCCCGUGCUUGGCUGGCUGUCCCCGUCCAUGUGAGGUGUCUUCGACGAGUCGAGUUGUUUGGGAAUGCAGCUCAAAAUGGGUGGUAAAUUUCAUCUAAAGCUAAAUAUUGGUGGGAGACCGAUAGCGCACAAGUAGAGUGAUCGAAAGAUGAAAAGCACUUUGAAAAUAGAGUUAAAAAGUACGUGAAAUUGUUGAAAGGGAAGCGCUUGAGACCAGACUUCGGUAAGGGGUGAUCAGCCGUCCUUUUGGGCGGUGCACUUGCCCCCCUCCGGGCCAGCAUCGGUUGAGGCGGCGGGAUAAAGGUCCCGGGAAUGUGGCUCCUUCACGGGAGUGUUAUAGCCCGGGUGAAUGCCGCCAGCUUCGACCGAGGACCGCACCCGCAAGGGUUAGGAUGCUUGGCAUAAUGGUCUUCAGCGACCCGUCUUGAAACACGGACCAAGGAGUCUAACAUCUAUGCGAGUGUUUGGGUGUCAAACCCUUGCGCGAAAUGAAAGUGAACGGAGGUGGGAACCCGCAAGGGCGCACCAUCGACCGGUCCCGAAGUCUUCUGAAGGAUCUGAGUAGGAGCAUAGCUGUUGGGACCCGAAAGAUGGUGAACUAUGCCUGAAUAGGGUGAAGCCAGAGGAAACUCUGGUGGAGGCUCGCAGCGGUUCUGACGUGCAAAUCGAUCGUCAAAUUUGGGUAUAGGGGCGAA
This 711-nucleotide ribosomal RNA is filed under the name Morchella sp. RNAcentral's name for it is "partial large subunit ribosomal RNA". It matches the Rfam family "Eukaryotic large subunit ribosomal RNA", at positions 202 to 927 of the family's 3401-position model. Lineage: Eukaryota; Fungi; Ascomycota; Pezizomycetes; Pezizales; Morchellaceae. The record is from RNAcentral.